This 30-nucleotide non-coding RNA is filed under the name Rattus norvegicus (Norway rat). Lineage: Eukaryota; Metazoa; Chordata; Mammalia; Rodentia; Muridae. The record is from RNAcentral.
UUUUUGAUGUUUUGUGUAAAUUUGAUUUUU